UACAGAGGCCCCAAGCAUUAUCCGGAUUUACUGGGCGUAAAGGGUGCGUAGGCGGUUAUAUUAGUCAGAUGUAAAAUCCUGGGGCUCAACCCCAGACUCGCAUUUGAAACGGUAUAACUAGAAUAAGUCAGAGGCAAGCAGAACUCAUGGUGUAGGGGUGAAAUCCGUUGAUAUCAUGGGGAAUACCAAAUGCGAAGGCAGCUUGCUGGGACUUUAUUGACGCUGAGGCACGAAAGCGUGGGUAGCGAAUCGG
RNAcentral lists this ribosomal RNA (253 nucleotides) under uncultured bacterium. RNAcentral describes it as "partial 16S ribosomal RNA". It matches the Rfam family "Bacterial small subunit ribosomal RNA", at positions 524 to 776 of the family's 1533-position model. The record is from RNAcentral.